GAAUCGAAAGCUAAUAAUAAGCAUUGGUCUUGUAAACCAAAGAUAGAGACUACUCUCUCAAUUCU
RNAcentral lists this transfer RNA (65 nucleotides) under Eisenia balatonica. Its description in RNAcentral is "tRNA-Thr". It matches the Rfam family "tRNA". Rfam says of the family: Transfer RNA (tRNA) molecules are approximately 80 nucleotides in length. Their secondary structure includes four short double-helical elements and three loops (D, anti-codon, and T loops). The record is from RNAcentral. Lineage: Eukaryota; Metazoa; Annelida; Clitellata; Crassiclitellata; Lumbricidae.